RNAcentral lists this small nuclear RNA (263 nucleotides) under Erinaceus europaeus (western European hedgehog). Its description in RNAcentral is "7SK RNA". It matches the Rfam family "7SK RNA". From Rfam's summary of the family: 7SK was discovered as an abundant small nuclear RNA in the mid-70s but a possible function has only recently been suggested. Two independent studies have found that 7SK RNA binds the CDK9/cyclin T complex (known as elongation factor P-TEFb). Lineage: Eukaryota; Metazoa; Chordata; Mammalia; Eulipotyphla; Erinaceidae. The record is from Rfam by way of RNAcentral.
GGAUAUGAGGCAAUCUGGCUGCGACAUCUGUCACCCCAUUGAUCACUAGGGUUGAUUCGGCUGAUCUGGCUGCCUAGGUGGGUGUACCCUUCCUCCUUCACUGCUCUACAUGUGUCCCUCCCCAAGCUGUAUGCUAGGUUGAAGAGGACCAGUCUUCCGUUGAGGGUACAUGAGUAGCUGCACUCCCCCGCUAGAACCUCCAAAAAUGCUCUCAAGAAGUGGAAAGAUAUUCCAUGUUCAUGGGUUGAAAGAAUUAACAUCAU